AGAAAUUUCUUUAAGUGCUAUGUUCUUUAUUGACAGUGCUGGAUGCAAGGGGGAUCCUUCCACCCAACGUGCAUACCCGAAGUGACAAACUAUCUCACAUUUAUACAGCAGAACAAUGAAUAUUCAAUUAAUGCCUAUACAUAUUCAUUACUUAAACCCGCCUACUCAUGCUUCUUAUGCUAAUUAGCUUAUCAGUCCUUUGCACUUGCACAGAUUCUUUCAAGAAUUGUGGACAGGGGUCUCUGGGGUGUGGGCAGUGGUCUUUGGGAGGAAGGCCGUAUG
Long non-coding RNA from Oxyura jamaicensis (ruddy duck), 282 nucleotides. RefSeq lists it as uncharacterized. Lineage: Eukaryota; Metazoa; Chordata; Aves; Anseriformes; Anatidae. The transcript has 3 exons. The record is from RefSeq and is a predicted model, not a curated record.